UAAGUACUUUUUGCGUUCGAAAAUACUUAUCAUAAGAAUGGAUGUAUCUAGACGUAUUUUAGUUUUAAAUACAUCUAUUUAUAUUUAUUUUUAUGACAAGUAAUUCCAAUCGGAGAAAGUAGAAC
RNAcentral lists this microRNA precursor (125 nucleotides) under Hordeum vulgare. RNAcentral's name for it is "microRNA MIR1122". It matches the Rfam family "MIR1120/MIR1122 microRNA precursor family". The record is from RNAcentral. Lineage: Eukaryota; Viridiplantae; Streptophyta; Magnoliopsida; Poales; Poaceae.